This is a long non-coding RNA of Struthio camelus australis, 5664 nucleotides long. RefSeq lists it as uncharacterized. The record is from RefSeq and is a predicted model, not a curated record. NCBI's taxonomy places the organism in Eukaryota, Metazoa, Chordata, Aves, Struthioniformes, Struthionidae.
CUCGGGGGCGGCCCGCGCUGAGGGGGCCGUGAUAUGAAGUACAACUGUGAGUCUGUAGUCCAAAUGUGAAGAUGAAUGCCUGAUGUUGUAGCAGUUAAGAGCAACCUCCAUACUGUUGUGUGAAUUUAUGUAACUGUAUGUUUGUCUGCUAGGUUUCUAUGACCAAAGACUGGGCCUCUUAGUUAUGCAUUUAGUUCCCUAGAGAAUAUUAUUUCUUCAACUGAUCAGAAGAUGCACAAAUAUUUGAGCAAAAAACCACCUCUAUAGUCACUCCUUAUUUGUGGUGGGAAGCCAUGCUGAAGUAAGGAAGCCUUACAGAGAUGAUUGGAGACGUUUCCUUAGUCACAUUUUUUUCUGGUUUUAUACCAGUAUUUUAGCAGUAAGGCUACAGAUAUGUUUUUUAAGAACUAUAUAGUGAUUUUUUUAUUCUGAGUAACAGAUCGUAGAACUUGACCUAACAAGAUACAUCUUAUCCUCUUCAGUCAUUAAUACGUACUUGAGAGAGAAGUGAAAUGUUGAUGUUCACAUGCCUUCUUUAAAAAAACACCCACGGUUUUCAUAUAAAGUGGUUUACACAACAAAGCCAAUUGCAAAUUAUUUACUCUUCAUUUUAAGGCCUUGACAUAUCAUUGCGACUGAGUCUUCUGUUCAUUAGAUACUGAGACAAGCCUUACAUUUUUCCAUGUGUCAGUUACAAAAACGAUCCUCCCUUCCAUUUUUCUUAACGCCCUACUAAAAGCUUGAAAAUGUUAAAAAUAUGAUUAAAGACAUUCCCUAUCUCUGCAUUAUCUUAUUAUUUUAAUUACUGUCAUUUAUUACCACCAUCAUUUAUUACUGAUGAUUUACUUUAGAAGAAGUCUUGAAGGGUUAUUCUGUCCCUGCUGCAUAUACCUCACUGAAGUUGCAUUUUUGUCUGAGAUACAGUAACUUACAUGCUAAUCAACUGUCAAGUCAGAAACAGAUGAGGAAAACAGCAGGAGCAGUAAGGGUACAAGUUGUAGCAAAGCACAGCAAAGAAGUCGGGAGAAACCACAUUGACACUCCUAUCGUCACUGGGUUUCCCAAAUCCACUAGAGAAGGAAGGCCGAAAAUUGUCAGUUUAGACAAGGCGUUUCAAAGAUCCAAUUUAUUUAUUAUAAAAUUAAGCUGUGCAGUUAGCUUGUUUUCAAGUUAGUAACAACCUAGCCAUUGCUUAUCACUUGUAUAUGGAGUUAGACUUUAAUUUUCCGUUUGAAUUACAAUCGCUUGGAAAGAAUUGACUCUUUGUAUUACUGUGCUCUGUUAAUGGACAAUCCAGCAAGCACGUUGCUGAAAAGCACCCUUACUUUGAUAAAGGGAAAUCAGAAUAUAAUGAAUGCAUAUAUAGAUUCUUUAUCUAGGUUAUUUUACUAUUCAUAUCUGGAGUUGUCCAAAUGGUAGUCAUGGGCAAGUCUCUCCAGCCACCAUCUUUUCUACUGUGGUAUUGUACUGAGAUUAGAAAGAAGGGAGAGAGGGAAAUACUGUUCCUACCAGCCUGUAAUGUAAUGUAAAGCUGUUGAAGCGGUAAAGAAACACCUAGGCUUUGGUCCUAUGAGUCAUUUCUGCACCUUUGCAGGAAAAUGGGGAUUGCCCUUCUGGGACUGCGGAGAUCUGGGCUCGGAACUGUACCUCUGUUUGUAGCUUACGGAGUUGUCCCCAAACUGGCAUUUGACCUACCAGUGAGGUCAGAAGCAGCCUGUACAGCUUUAAAAAUCAUUUUACUUUUGAAAGCCUGAAUAUGAUUUAACUAAAUAGGGCUUUAGUGCUAAAGCAGCAAGGACCAUAAUCCUUGAGACAUUUAAGCAUAAAGCGUUUCAGCAUACAAAACCUAUUUAAAUAAUUUAUCAUUAGCCUAUGUGUUUACAGAAGAAAGCUUAACAAAAAUGUGUUGGUAACAAUACAAAAAAGGUCAUGGUGAUACUCACAAGUUUUUAUUCUUAAUCUACAAGACAGAAUCCAUUAAAAUCCAUCUUCAAAAUACUCUAGAUGCUUUGGAAGCAUGGCUUCCAAAAUACACAUGCAGCAUUCCGGAGAGUUACUUCUACUCUGAAAUCGAGCCCAGAAGACUGUUAACUGCUAGAUACAGGUGCUUUAUCUGGGUCAUGAGUUAUAUAUUAAAAAAGAGUUUCAAAAACACUUUUUGUUUCCAGGUCUGUUGCAAUUCAUGAUCAUACUUCAAAACCGCAGCAAUGAAGCCUUAGACAAGGCCUUCUUGAAUUGCCUAAUGCAUAAUAAUAAGAUAGAGAUACUACUUAAACUGUAUAAAAGUUCCACCAAAUUUAUUAAAAAUACCCACCUUUCAUAAUGUUUAAAUUAUCCAUUAGUUUUUCGCUUCAGCCAAAAGAUCGAUUUUGUCAUUCAGAACAUCCAGCCUGAAUUGCAUUUGCUCUUUGAAAAGCUGUGAUACAAAACAAAAUCUUUGUCCACAAUGGAGUCACUUUGCCUUCAGUGACACUGUAAUUUCACCCUUACUUAAUGGACCUGUAGAAUGACUGUGACGUUUGUGUUGAUUUUAAAUAGAUACAUUUUCAAAGAAGCAACAGCAGUGAUGGAGUUUUAUACCAACAAAAACACCAUGCAAAACUGCAGCAAACUGGGAGCACCCAUCACUUUUCUCUGCUGCUUAAUGUAUUAAAAAGGUAUCAGUAGUCAUAGUGGGCUUCAGUUAAAAAUUUCCAGCACUGGGUGGCAUGAGCAGAUUUUUCAUGCGUAAGUUUACGUGUUUGCUCUUGUAUAACUAUAUCCUUUUUAAAUAAGAAUCCAACAACUUGGUUACAGAAUGCUAAGGAAAUACAGUACAUUCUGUUUAAAUACUGUCAUUGACGAUUAAGACAUCUAAACAUCUAGCAUGUUUUCUCAAACUGUUUUUACUGCCUCAGAUCAAUAUCAAAUUGGUACAGCUAAUGAAGUAUCCUGUAGAAGUUUAAAAAAAAAAAAAAAGCACUUACUGGAAGCAACAAAGGAUCUGGUUUCAAAGAUAACGUUCAUUAAUGUUCUGUCUUACUCCAUAUGAAGUUUUUUGCAUGAUUAGUAUCGACUUCUAAAAUAACUAUAUUGUAAAUUAUUACUCAGUAAGAUUUUCUGAGUCCCAUCUGUGUUUGUUUUUAAUCACAUGGUUCCAGUGUAGUUAAUCCUGUUUUCUAUGCAGAAAUAGCAUCAUCCAAGAUAAAUAUCUGAUUACAAUAAUCUUACAAUUAAAUACAAAAACAGGAAGUAGAUAUACCUAAUCUUGAACUCUUUAUUUGAUAUAUUUAUUCACAUUUUCAUUUGCAGUAUUUAAAAUUAAAAAUUCUAUUAAAGAAUUCUCUCUAAUGUUUACUAUCUAUGGUGUAACUAUGUUGUGGAUGAAGAAAUCUUUAGUACAAAUUCUGGUGUCUUCUUGACUCUAUUGGUGCUGAUAAUCUUUUAUAUUAAGAUAAUGGGACCUUCAGACCCUUAAGGACUACGUAAGAUGAUGGGCAGAUGGAACAGAGGAUAGUUCCUACUCAGUUCCACAGACAAGGGAAGCUGCUGUCUUGUUUGGCUGUGUGAGCCAGCACGUCACUCAAGAUAAAAGCACAAGAUACACAUGCUGCAGUCCGAAGCAACUGUGUUACCAGUCUGCUGUUUCCAAAUCUCCUUUUUAUUCUAUAAGCUCCUCUGGCCAGAUGAUUACUUUCCUGACUGAAAGUUGCAAUACACUAAUACCGUUAGAUAGAUGAAAUCAAGAAAGUUCCUCGUCCAUUUUGGAACCCUGCACGUGGUCUGCGUCCAGAUGUGUCAUUCCGUGGGAAACUAGAAGAGGAAGUACGGUGUGAUGUCUGUAAAGAAUUGCACAUGGAUACAGUGAGUGCUCCUAGGAGUCCUACUAACAGAAUCGCGUGAGAUGCUGCUGUCUGUGCAAGGUAAAUGUCUGCCUUACAGAAGUCAUCAUAACUCCUCUGCAGUAUUAGGGCAUACAUAAAUGCUGGAACCGGAAUGAGUUUGGGCACUUCUCUUUGGAAUGGUUGUACUUUUGAUACAGUUUGUCUUUUGUCAAAGUUCUCCAUAACCGAUGAAUGGCAGGGUGGCAGAUCAGGAAGAGUAUUGAAGUCUACCACUGUCCCUUUUAGCUGUGGGGAAAGGAUGCUGACCUAGAAGAGCUGAGAACAAUGUAAGUUAAUCAUAAAAGGAAUUUACACUAUACAGGUAAGAAACUGGAUGUUUCCACGUUAGUGUAGUAGAAGGGUAGUGUAGCUUCUCAGAUACCAGCUCAGCUGUGAAUCAGUUUGGAGAACCUAUGGGUUAUAAAUCCUAAUUAAUUUUCCAAUUACUAUUUUGUAGUGUAAAUAAAAGGCAGUUGAUAGAUGAUCCAGAAGAAGUUUCAGACCUGAAAUUACGUGGCACCCAAACAGUUAAGUUUGCAGACGUUGGUAUCUACUGUCCAGUAAUUGAGUCAUACAGGUUAAAAAGCAUCAUGGAUACUGGCUAAACUCUGCACCUUGGCCACUGUGGCCAGAAAGCGCUUCCCUUUGCGUCUGUGUACCCAGAAACGCGCUUGGAGCCUUCUGAACGCGGACGGGGAAGAGAGAACGCACGCAGCGCUGGCGGCCACGAGCCUUCUCCGCCUCCUCCUCGCCCUUCUGCAGGGAUAACUGCCUUAACAUUGCACCUAUGACAACUCUCAAACGCUCUGAGAACCCAAAAGUUGAGUCCGAAAAGAUAAACCCUGGUCAGAUGGAAAGCCUUUGCCAGUAUAUUCAGUCAUAUUUACGUAGCUACUAACUAACGUACUUAAAAAAAAGUCACGGUAUGAAUUGUUCUCUGAGGAGGGCUCACACAGAGCGCCCUAGAGAGCUUAUCAUGCAACGUUUCAUUUCAAGUCUAAUGCAGUAUUUUAAAGUGAAACAGAAUAUAUACAAAAGCAAAACACACAAAACAAAAUAUAUACAAAAUAUAUCUUAAGGAUAUUAGUUAACUACUGCAGGAUAAAAAUAACAUGCCUGAUUGCAAAACCAAAUCAAAAAUAAAAACAGAAGUUGCUUUAUAAACAAGGCAUCAGGCAUUUUCUUAAAAAUACCACUGUUUUAACGUACUAUUCAUGGCUGUUAAGGGCUGUUAAAUUACCUACUAACCAUAUAUCACUGUUAGUGAACAGCAUGAACUUUAUAUUUAAAAGCAACAGUACAAGACAAUUUUGUCCCUCAGCAAUAGUUAAAAUUGAAACCAGGAGGCUUUUUUUUUAACAGACAAAUAGCCUUUACAGCAAGGAACUUGUUUCUCCUUGUUCACUGUCAUCUCAUGACUUACGUCAACUAGUAUGGAGGAAAGGUGAGAUCAGGUAUGAAGACCUGGUAUGUUUUUUGUAAUAUUUAUGAAUAACAGUGUAAUACAAUGAUUUUCUGUAAUAGUUUUAAAUAAGAUUCAAUUUUCCAAACACCUCUUAUCUCCUAAUAUGUAAACAAAUCUCUUCUUAUUCUGGUAAUGUGUGCAAUUUUAAAGAAAAUAUAGCACAAUGAAGACAGAUGAAUAUCCUGCUGUUCCACAUGCAACGAAUAUGAAUAAAAAUGGAAAACAACAUCAAGCAACAGUAACAAGCCUGCUAAUGCAACUGUCCGUAUUGUGAUUGUAUAAACUCCUCAGAUGAGGAAUAUUUACGUAUUGCAGUUACAAUCCCCCUAAUUGGUA